AAUUGUAGAGGUCGCGGUACUUAUGAGUACUAAUAAUGAGGUAAGCACAAUGAUUUAUUAGAAAAGGAAUUAUCGCCGAAGGAUAUAACUGAUGCUUUAAAGUUAUAUACCUGGGGAUGUAUAAAAUAUAUGCAUCACUGUCACAAAUUUAAUUUGUGUUGAGCUACAU
Molecule: non-coding RNA, 169 nt
Filed under: uncultured Romboutsia sp.
Lineage: Bacteria; Bacillati; Bacillota; Clostridia; Peptostreptococcales; Peptostreptococcaceae
Description: Lysine riboswitch
Rfam family: Lysine riboswitch aptamer
About the family: Riboswitches are metabolite binding domains within certain messenger RNAs that serve as precision sensors for their corresponding targets. Allosteric rearrangement of mRNA structure is mediated by ligand binding, and this results in modulation of gene expression. This family includes riboswitches that sense lysine in a number of genes involved in lysine metabolism, including lysC.
Source: RNAcentral